GAUUCUCUCCUCUCCUCUUCCAGGUUUGAGAAACCCUCCAAGACCCCUCUUGGUGCCUGGUCCCUCCAGCACAGGAAGCAAUGACUCAGAUGGCGGCCUUUUUGCUGUCCCGACAACCUUGCCACCCAACAGCCGACAUGGGAAGUUCUUCUCUCCCAGUAAAGAAGCAGAGCUGACUUUCCGCCAGCAUCUGAACUCCAUCAGCAUGCAGUCGGAUUUCUUCCUGCCAAAGCCCCGGAAGCUGCGGAACCGGCACCUGCGGAAGCCACUGGUGGUCCAGAGAACACUGCUCCCUAGACCAUCGGAAAACCAGUCCCACAACGUUUGUUCCUUCUCCAUCCUGUCUAACUCUUCCGUAACUGGGAGAGGUUCGUUCCGGCCCAUCCAGUCUUCUCUGACCAAAGCAGCUCUGUCUCGGCCGAUCGUGCCCAAGGUCCUUCCACCCCAGGCCACGAGUCACCUGGCCAGUGCUAUCGACUUAGCAGCUACGAGUGCCGGCAUUCUCUCUGGGAACCCCCUCCCUGCCUUGGACACCGAGGGCUUGUCUGGCAUCUCUCCA
RNAcentral lists this small RNA (559 nucleotides) under Pongo abelii (Sumatran orangutan). Its description in RNAcentral is "retained intron". Lineage: Eukaryota; Metazoa; Chordata; Mammalia; Primates; Hominidae. The record is from RNAcentral.